Long non-coding RNA from Gorilla gorilla gorilla (western lowland gorilla), 382 nucleotides. RefSeq lists it as uncharacterized. The transcript has 3 exons. NCBI's taxonomy places the organism in Eukaryota, Metazoa, Chordata, Mammalia, Primates, Hominidae. The record is from RefSeq and is a predicted model, not a curated record.
GAGUGACAUUGUUAUAACAGUGAGAUUGGCUCCUCCACUCUUUUCUUCCUCCUUCCACCAUGGGAUGAUAACAGCAAUAAGGCCCUCACAAGAUGUGAGUGCCAUGCUCUUGGACUUCCCAUACUCUACAACUGUCAAGAAGGGAAGCCAGAAGUCAAGGCCACAGAAGACACAGGAAACAUCAUUUCCAAAGUGGGAGACAAAGCUGUUAACAGGAAAUUAUUUGUAAAGUCAAGAGCCAAGCAAAACAGAAAAAGGACAAGAAAUCUAUCACCUAUGGUAUUCAUUAGGUGAAUUGACUACAAAAUGGACUGCACUGAAAACACAUCACAUGAUUUCAACAAGGAGAUAGGAAACUUGAAUCCUUACUAAUGAGAAGGAA